CAGCCGCCGCGGUAAUACGUAGGUGGCAAGCGUUGUCCGGAAUUAUUGGGCGUAAAGGGCUCGCAGGCGGUUUCUUAAGUCUGAUGUGAAAGCCCCCGGCUCAACCGGGGGGGGUCAUUGGAAACUGGGAAACUUGAGUGCAGAAGAGGAGAGUGGAAUUCCACGUGUAGCGGUGAAAUGCGUAGAGAUGUGGAGGAACACCAGUGGCGAAGGCGACUCUCUGGUCUGUAACUGACGCUGAGGAGCGAAAGCGUGGGGAGCGAACAGGAUUAGAUACCCCUGUAGUCCCUGUCUCUUAUAA
This 301-nucleotide ribosomal RNA is filed under the name uncultured bacterium. RNAcentral's name for it is "partial 16S ribosomal RNA". It matches the Rfam family "Bacterial small subunit ribosomal RNA", at positions 509 to 809 of the family's 1533-position model. The record is from RNAcentral.